CCGGGCUGGCGGCGGGCGGGGACUGCGGAGGAGGCAGCUUGCGCCGGGGCUGGGGCCUGCUUCGGGGGACUAGCGGCCCGGGAGGUAUGGAGGUGCCGCUCCGGGGGGGGCGAAAGAAACGUGGAAAGGUCGCCCAGGAGGGAGCCUGUCCCCCAGGGUUUCCAGGGGCAACGGUGGCCCGUGUCCCUGGAGGACAUGCGCCAGGGCAGCAGGGAGUGGUCCCCGCAGGCUCCCAGGCUGGGGCCGGCCGCCUUCUGGGGCGCUCAGACCUGUCUGCUGCAGUUUGCAAACAGUACGCCCGAAUUCUUUUCAUUGUAAAAAAUUUCUAUUAAAAAUAACUCGUAAAGCCUAUCAUCUCUUUUAAAUAAAGGGGAAGAAAGAG
Homo sapiens (human) is the source of this 382-nucleotide long non-coding RNA. Ensembl annotates it as ANKH divergent transcript. Its record names the gene ANKH-DT. The record is from Ensembl. Lineage: Eukaryota; Metazoa; Chordata; Mammalia; Primates; Hominidae.